UCCCUCGUGGUCCAGUAGCUAAGACCCUGCACUUCCAGUGCAGGGGGCAGGGUUCAAUCCCUGGUUAGGGAA
Molecule: transfer RNA, 72 nt
Filed under: Bos taurus (domestic cattle)
Lineage: Eukaryota; Metazoa; Chordata; Mammalia; Artiodactyla; Bovidae
Also listed under: 3 other names
Rfam family: tRNA
About the family: Transfer RNA (tRNA) molecules are approximately 80 nucleotides in length. Their secondary structure includes four short double-helical elements and three loops (D, anti-codon, and T loops).
Source: Rfam by way of RNAcentral